RNAcentral lists this unclassified non-coding RNA (185 nucleotides) under uncultured Ophiostomatales. RNAcentral describes it as "sequence contains ITS1". Lineage: Eukaryota; Fungi; Ascomycota; Sordariomycetes; Ophiostomatales. The record is from RNAcentral.
CCGAGUUUUCUACAACUCCCAACCCUUGCGAACCGUACCCCAGUCUGUUCUCGUUGCUUCCGGCGGCGGGGCGGGGGAGGCCCUGAAAACGCCUCCCUCUGCCCCCCGCCGGGGGCGGCGGGCCCUCUGAACCUUUUUUUAAAACACAACUAGACCUUCUGAGCAAAAAAACAAAAAAUACAUUA